CCAGCAGCCGCGGUAAUUCCAGCUCCAAUAGCGUAUAUGAAAGUUGUUGCAGUUAAAAAGCUCGUAGUUGGAUUUCGGAUUGGUGGAGGAAGGAGUUGGUCGAAAUGACUUUAAUUCCUCUCCAUUAUCCUACCUUGGGGAUUAAAGAGGUUGGAGAGGAGUGGUAUUAGCAAUAAUAUCACUCUGCUCCUUCUUCUCCUCAUCUUUUACUUUGAGAAAAUUAGAGUGUUCAAAGCAGGCGUAACCCAGCCUUGAAUACUUUAGCAUGGGAUAAUAGAAUAGGACGAAAGUCUUAUUUUGUUGGUUUCUAGGGCUUUUGUAAUGAUUAAAAGGGACAGUUGGGGGCAUUU
RNAcentral lists this ribosomal RNA (350 nucleotides) under uncultured eukaryote. RNAcentral describes it as "SSU rRNA". It matches the Rfam family "Eukaryotic small subunit ribosomal RNA", at positions 567 to 893 of the family's 1831-position model. The record is from RNAcentral.